RNAcentral lists this non-coding RNA (477 nucleotides) under Pan troglodytes (chimpanzee). Lineage: Eukaryota; Metazoa; Chordata; Mammalia; Primates; Hominidae. The record is from RNAcentral.
GAAAAGCGCUCAGUUGUCAAGGAACUAUUUUUCUUGCCGUCGUCCCAGAGAUGCCUUUGGAAAAGCGGAAGGGCACGGAGGGUUCUGGAGUUUGUUGCUGGCACCUGCGUGGUGUCAUGAGAACGUGGCGGGGCGUUCAUGGGUGCUUCAGAAUGUGUGGUCAAAAGCAGCCCUCAGAUCAGAGACCUCGACCCCUCUCCUGCCUCAGGACAGCAAACUCAACCAGCCUCCAAGAUGGGGCCUUUCUUCAGUAGCAGGUCCAGCAUAGCAAGUGGGUGGUGAGAUGCCGGCAGUGGAAUUCUAGAAGCAGUGCCUCCCAGAACAGCACUACAGUACUGAGGAAGGACUAUGCACCUGGGAAGCUGUCACACACACAAAAUCAUUUCAUGAAAACUUUCUCUGGGUAAAGGAAGGGUUCCACUGCAUAGUAUUUGAUUUGAGAAGGGCUGCAUGGUGCAUGAGGUUAAGAAAGAAAUG